GUGCCAGCCGCCGCGGUAAUACGGAGGGUGCAAGCGUUAUCCGGAUUCACUGGGUUUAAAGGGUGCGUAGGCGGGCAGGUAAGUCCGUGGUGAAAUCUCUGAGCUUAACUCAGAAACUGCCAUGGAUACUAUUUGUCUUGAAUAUUGUGGAGGUAAGCGGAAUAUGUCAUGUAGCGGUGAAAUGCUUAGAUAUGACAUAGAACACCAAUUGCGAAGGCAGCUUACUACACAGUUAUUGACGCUGAGGCACGAAAGCGUGGGGAUCAAACAGGAUUAGAAACCCUCGUAGUCC
Molecule: ribosomal RNA, 292 nt
Filed under: uncultured bacterium
Lineage: Bacteria
Description: partial 16S ribosomal RNA
Rfam family: Bacterial small subunit ribosomal RNA
Source: RNAcentral